Molecule: non-coding RNA, 83 nt
Organism: Xenopus tropicalis (tropical clawed frog)
Lineage: Eukaryota; Metazoa; Chordata; Amphibia; Anura; Pipidae
Source: Rfam
ACCAGGAUGGCUGAGUGGUUAAGCCAUUGGACUUAAGAUCCAAUGGAUGUAUAUCCACGUGGGUUUGAACCCCACUCCUGGUA